This 522-nucleotide long non-coding RNA is filed under the name Callithrix jacchus (white-tufted-ear marmoset). RNAcentral describes it as "lncRNA (ENSCJAG00000085542.1)". Lineage: Eukaryota; Metazoa; Chordata; Mammalia; Primates; Cebidae. The record is from RNAcentral.
AUGUUGACCCCGCCAGAACCACUUGCAUACCUGGGCCACUUCGGGAGCUACUGCCCACACGGGGACCUGUGGCUGGCAGCCAAAUGCCUGGGGAGCCUUUUUAACCUUGCUGCCUGGGACUGUGGAAUGCUGGGGAGGCCUGCCGGAGCUGUGCGCCAGGCUGCCACCCUCCAGGUGCCCGCAGGCUCUGCCGGUUGUAGCUCACCCCUCCCUGCUGUUUUCUCCAGCCUGAGGCUGCGCACGAGGUUCCGCCCCUGGGGCUGGGCUGUUCCCAGAGGUCAAGGAGCGAAAGGGGCGGGGCCCGUGCUCGCCUGCUCUGUCCCACAGGCUCCCUCAGGUUUUGGUCCCAGAUACUAUCUGAAGGAUAGAGAAGGAGACGGAAAGCAGAGAGAGAGCUUGAAGGGUCUCACUCUGUCAUCCAGGUUGGAGUGCAGUGGCAUCAUCAAAGCUCCCUGCAGCCUCAACCUCCUGAGCUCAAGCAAUUCUCUUUCCUCAGCCUCCCAGAGCAGAAUCCAGUCAUAA